ACGGGUGAGUAACGCGUGGGAAUCUACCUUUUGCUACGGAAUAACUCAGGGAAACUUGUGCUAAUACCGUAUGUGCCCUUCGGGGGAAAGAUUUAUCGGCAAAGGAUGAGCCCGCGUUGGAUUAGCUAGUUGGUGGGGUAAAGGCCCACCAAGGCGACGAUCCAUAGCUGGUCUGAGAGGAUGAUCAGCCACACUGGGACUGAGACACGGCCCAGACUCCUACGGGAGGCAGCAGUGGGGAAUAUUGGACAAUGGGCGCAAGCCUGAUCCAGCCAUGCCGCGUGAGUGAUGAAGGCCCUAGGGUUGUAAAGCUCUUUCACCGGUGAAGAUAAUGACGGUAACCGGAGAAGAAGCCCCGGCUAACUUCGUGCCAGCAGCCGCGGUAAUACGAAGGGGGCUAGCGUUGUUCGGAUUUACUGGGCGUAAAGCGCACGUAGGCGGACUUUUAAGUCAGGGGUGAAAUCCCAGAGCUCAACUCUGGAACUGCCUUUGAUACUGGAAGUCUUGAGUAUGGUAGAGGUGAGUGGAAUUCCGAGUGUAGAGGUGAAAUUCGUAGA
This 557-nucleotide ribosomal RNA is filed under the name uncultured bacterium. Its description in RNAcentral is "bacterial SSU rRNA". It matches the Rfam family "Bacterial small subunit ribosomal RNA", at positions 102 to 694 of the family's 1533-position model. The record is from RNAcentral.